Long non-coding RNA from Homo sapiens (human), 846 nucleotides. NCBI's taxonomy places the organism in Eukaryota, Metazoa, Chordata, Mammalia, Primates, Hominidae. The record is from Ensembl.
AUGCAGAACAUGAGGCAAGUGUGGGCUUCUCGGCCGGAAGUUCCUCUCUAAUUUCUGGGGAACAGCCUUAAGGCCUGUUUUCUGAAAAAGACCUCUGUGUCUCUCAUCUGGGAAGUGGGAUGAUAGCGCCAACCUAGCUGGAUUGCUGUGACUGCCAGCACAAUGCCUUCUAAGGGUUCAAGAUGAGAUUACUUAGUCCCAGAUGGGUUAAGUAACUGGCCCAAGGUCACAGCGCUGGUAAGCAACUGGGCUUCAAUCCAACCAUCCUGACUCCAGAAGCCUCUUUGAACUACCACCUUCUGCACCUGCCCCAGGGCUUCUUCGCCUGAGCCGGUGCCUUGCUGCCGCCCUGCUCAUCUCUUCUGGGAAGAUGCCUCUCAUCUUGCCAGUCCUCAAGCCAGAAGCCUCCGGUGCUGCCCUAGGGCUCCCUGAAUAGGCAUCCCUAAGGCAUCCCUCCUGGUGUUCAAACCACAUCCUUCCUGGCUAAGCUUCCAUUCCCCAGGGUAGCCCUCCACACUUUGGAGCCUCAGCUCACCUCUCACUCUCACACUUCAGUUUCACACUUCCCUUCUGAAUGGUCCCACCUCUGUGCUUUUGCUUAAGCUGUGCACACUUCCCAGAGUGCUCUUUCCCCUAUGUCUGCCUGUGCUCCAAUACCCUAUGCCUGAGCUGACCCAUGACAUACAAGCACCUACAGAGGCCUGGGGGAAGGAGGCAGUGGUAUGUGUGUCAGUGUGGGGAGUCAGUGAAGAGGUUUGGGGCUUUAGGGUCAGUUAUGUGACUUCAGGGCAAGUCCCCAUCUCCCUGAACCCCAGUUUCUGCAAAAUGAAGAUAUCCAUCCCAGCU